This 499-nucleotide ribosomal RNA is filed under the name uncultured bacterium. RNAcentral's name for it is "partial 16S ribosomal RNA". It matches the Rfam family "Bacterial small subunit ribosomal RNA", at positions 28 to 507 of the family's 1533-position model. The record is from RNAcentral.
GACGAACGCUGGCGGCGUGCCUAAUACAUGCAAGUCGAGCGAAGAGUUUCUGUUGCUGGCACCGGCAAAACUGAGCGGCGAACGGGUGAGUAACACGUAAAGGACCUGCCGCAUAGACUGGCACAACAAUCGGAAACGAUAGCUAAUACCGGAGAAUAACCUUAACUGCAUGGUUGAUGUGUAAGAGUUGGUUUUUCUAACACUAUGAGAUGGCUUUGCGGUCCAUUAGCUAGUUGGUGGGGUAAAGGCCUACCAAGGCGACGAUCAAUAGCUGACCUGAGAGGUGGAUCGGCCACACUCGGACUGAGACACGGCCCACACUCCGACGGGAGGCAGCAGUAGGGAACCUCCCGCAGUGGGCGAGAGCAUGACGGCGCAACGCGGCGUGAGUGAAGAAGGAUUUCGGUUCGUAAAGCUCUGUUGUUAGGGAAGAAUGAUUGUGUAGUCACUAUAAACAGUAGUGACGGUACCUAACCAGAAAGCCACGGCUAACUCCGUG